AGGUCGAUCCAGUCUGAGAGUCACAGUCCGGGCUCCUCCACAAAUCAUGGAGUCAACCAGGAUGAAACUCAUGUGUAUGACUCUGUUCAAUAUGGUACCAAUAACCUCUAUGAAUCAGUUUCGUACAUCGAAGACAACAGAAAUGGAUCAGAUGAACAUCAAGAUGUCACAUACGCUUUUAUUAAAUUUAAAACCUUUGGAAAGAAGAGGAAGCAUCAUAAACCAGAGCAGAGUGCUUUUUACUCUGACGUGAAGACGGGAGCUGCAGAGGACAGUCUGAUGUGUGCUGAGGUCAAACGCCCCAAAAAAGAAAAAGCCAAGAAAAAAGCAGGAAAAUCAAGUCCUGCAGCUGAUGCAGCAGUUUAUUCUGAAGUCACAUUAGGAAGCUUUCCUGGUCAGUGAGGAGAGCUGCAGCAGCAAAGCCAAGAAGAAGCAUUUAAUGAAUCCACUGUUGCUCCUCUGCUGCCCAAAUAUCAGACACACUCAGUCUUUAGUUUUAAUGAAGAUGAUAGUGAAUAAUAAUAUAAUAUAGAUUUGGUACUGUCUUUUAGCAUAAAGCACACAGAGGUGUGUCCUGUUUCGGCUCUAUGCUCUUUAUAUUCACCUUUUAUUCAUUGUUGAGCUUUAAUAUCAAACUUUGAAUGUAUCCUGUUACAACAGCAGUGAGAAAAAGUGUGAUUUUUAGUAGCUAAUAGCAACGACUUAAAGUCAGCAGAGUUACAUUAGGAAGUGCUGGUAUGGACACAAACAAAUACUUUUACUGUCUGAGUUUAAAGAUCUGCAUCAUGUAAAAAUGAAUUAUUUGGUAUAAAAACAUGAAAAAGC
This is a long non-coding RNA of Oreochromis aureus, 825 nucleotides long. Lineage: Eukaryota; Metazoa; Chordata; Actinopteri; Cichliformes; Cichlidae. The record is from Ensembl.